UUGCAUCCAUUCAUUGAACUGUUUGGCAGGUUAAAGAGGUAGCUCCAGAAGCAAGACGAAGAGAUGCAAGUUUGUCAUUUGCUUUUGUGUAUCCUGAUAAACGAGGGCGGUUUGUGGUUAGAGAGGUGGGGAGAACAUACUCUUAUCCAAAUGGGAGACGACCUGAUAGUGGCAGCAAAAGCUUGAGUGAACUAAAAUUUCAGAUUGGAGAUUACUUGGAUGUGGCUAUCACGUUCCAGUGACCUGUAACAGCACCCGCAUUCAAAAUAGAACCAUCUAGCUUAUGCAUUAGUUCAUUAUAUGCUGGGUUAAUGCUACCUUUCUCUGUAAAAUUAACAUCAAAUCCAGUGUCGAUGCAUUCCAGACCUUGUCUAGUAUUCGUUUAUAUCUGCAAGAUGGUUAAACAAGUAUCUAAGGGUAUGUGCUAAUGUUCAAUCAAAUGGCCCAUUGAAGACCAGGGUUCAAUUUCCAACAAUGAAAUUACAAUAGGUGAUUUUUCUUACUUGGUACAAUAUUGUGGAAGAUAACAGGUAUUAACCGAGAAAUAUGCUACUGUUAUAGAAAAAAUUCAAAUAA
Nicotiana tabacum (common tobacco) is the source of this 576-nucleotide non-coding RNA. Lineage: Eukaryota; Viridiplantae; Streptophyta; Magnoliopsida; Solanales; Solanaceae. The record is from RefSeq and is a predicted model, not a curated record.